UGUUAAAAACUUUAUCAAUUUCGAUUCUUAAAAACUAGCAUGACUAACAAAAUAAUAAGAUAGUUACACAUGACGUAACACGUGUAAAUCAUAUUAAAAAGUAGGGACUAGUUUUUAAUAGUAGAAAUAUAUGAAAAUUUUAACA
RNAcentral lists this microRNA precursor (145 nucleotides) under Gossypium hirsutum (cotton). Its description in RNAcentral is "MIR7502 microRNA precursor family". It matches the Rfam family "MIR7502 microRNA precursor family". Lineage: Eukaryota; Viridiplantae; Streptophyta; Magnoliopsida; Malvales; Malvaceae. The record is from Rfam by way of RNAcentral.